GACGAACGCUGGCGGCGUGCCUAAUACAUGCAAGUAGAACGCAGUUGCGAACGGGUGAGUAAAGCGUAGGUAACUGCCUAAUAGCGGGGGGUAACUAUUUGAAACGCUAGCUAAUACAGCAUACUGUGAGAUGGACGUGCGUUGUAUUAGCUAGUUGGGGAGGUAAAGGCUCACCAAGGCGACGAGACAUAGCCGACCUGAGAGGGUGAUCGGACACACAUGGACUGUAACACAGUCCAGAACCCUACGGGACGGAGCAGUGUGGGAUUUUGGGCCAUGGGCGGAAGGCCGACCGGGCAAAGGCGCGUGAGGGAAGAAGGUUUUCAGAUCGUAAAGCACUGCUGUGAGAGAAGCGGUAACUAACCAGAAAGGAACGGCUAACUACGUGCCAGCCGCCGCGGUAAUAC
This 407-nucleotide ribosomal RNA is filed under the name uncultured bacterium. RNAcentral describes it as "partial 16S ribosomal RNA". It matches the Rfam family "Bacterial small subunit ribosomal RNA", at positions 28 to 526 of the family's 1533-position model. The record is from RNAcentral.